AUUCGGUCCUCCUUUUGUUAACGCUCUGGCAUCAUGUCUACGCCAGCUCCCGCGCAAUCCGGCGCCAUCGCGCUUUGGGCGAGCAUGGCCAUGGGGAGUAGAGAGGUGGAAACCGAGCUGACGCCUGCCUGACCCUGGCGAUGGUGGCGCGCGCCGGGAAGGACUGAUUGGAGAAUGGCGCCAAAUGGGUCACGGAUGGCGAGGGGGCACAGGAGCUCUCGAUGUGACCUGGCGCUGUGGAUGUGAUGCACAGCAGCUUGAGUGGGACUGCUCCGCUGUCCUCAUGAGAGAACGCUUUUUCUGAAGAUGGGAGGUGGCUAAUGAAAGAAGGAAUUGUGUUCUCGGUGAUGCCUGGAAGAGAUGCGUGACGUUGGAAGAUGAUUACGAAAUACAGGAAAGGAAUGAAAUCAAAGGAUGUUUUUUGUAAGAGUAACACUUACAGAAAUAUUCAUUAAUUUGAAGAUUUAUAUAAGGCCUGGUGACCUCCGUUAAUUCCUGGGACCCACAGUGUGGAAGAAGAGACCUGACUCCUGAAAGUUGUCUUCUGACCACAUAUACACAAUAUGUAAAUAAAUGUAAUUAAAAAAUCAAAAUAGUAAAACUG
RNAcentral lists this long non-coding RNA (604 nucleotides) under Mus musculus (house mouse). Its description in RNAcentral is "lincRNA-EC11". The record is from RNAcentral. Lineage: Eukaryota; Metazoa; Chordata; Mammalia; Rodentia; Muridae.